UGAUAUUUAAGUCAUAUUUUAGAGAAAAGAAUCCAGAAAAAACUUAAGAAUGGCUGAGUCUCUCCUCUUCAAGAAAAGUACUAAAAAUAGCGUAGAAUUUCUGCUUGAUUUCCUGGGAUAAAUCAGUAUUCAAAAGCUCAGUAGAAGAAGCACAUCUGAGGUUUUCUGAUUGCUGAAAUGAAGUCAAGAAUUAGAAGUUUUGAGUUGUCUGAUUUCAAACACUAUUCCAUUGAGCUGAUUUCUGCUGUGGUUUUCCUCUUUGUUGAGUCUGCUACUGUUGCUAUUUUUGCUUUUCUCCCAACUCACUUUUUCUCCUUGGUUUGCUGUUUGUUACCAGGUACAUGUCCUUGAUUCUAAACAUGUAAAAAUUGGUUCAUGUGGUUUCGAAGAAAUGAAGAUAUCUGUUCUUAUUAGAUGUUUCCUUCUUUAUCUUCUUUCUCAUUGAAUCUGUUUGUUUCAACUUCCAUGUUGUGGCAUGAUUAAAGUAAAGUUAUGCUGUGAAUAUUGAGACUUAUGCUGGAAAUUGUAAUUGGACUCCGAUUCAGUAUUUGCAGAUUUCAAUUUGUUUUAGUUCCCUAGGCUUGUUAUUGUUAGAAGAAUUAAUUGAUUUUAAGUCCC
This 618-nucleotide long non-coding RNA is filed under the name Nicotiana tabacum (common tobacco). RNAcentral's name for it is "long non-coding RNA (NTAB_LNC008694)". Lineage: Eukaryota; Viridiplantae; Streptophyta; Magnoliopsida; Solanales; Solanaceae. The record is from RNAcentral.